GGAAAGACCUGAAAACCAGUCUCUUCUGCUUCCCUUGGACACCCCAGUGUUCAGCCCUUGGUUGCUGAUGGGGUCAGUGCCAGAGGCCUCCAGAUGGUCAGCCUCCCACUACCCAGGCUGCUGCCGUGAUGGCAAAGGGAAUGAGGCAACUUUUCCAGAACAAGAAAAUGAUACAUCCAGGAUUUGA
RNAcentral lists this long non-coding RNA (187 nucleotides) under Aotus nancymaae (Ma's night monkey). RNAcentral describes it as "lncRNA (ENSANAG00000038650.1)". Lineage: Eukaryota; Metazoa; Chordata; Mammalia; Primates; Aotidae. The record is from RNAcentral.